CGGUGUCUGCGAUUACGCCAUUUACGUCCACCUCCAUUACGAAGACAGUGGCUUCCACGGCACAAACUUAGGAACAUUUUUAGAAAAGUCUAAGAACUUCCGGAAGACCAUCUUUUUGGCAACCCUUGCCUCGGAAAUGCUGGGCAGAAAUGACCGUAUCUUAUCUCCUGCUUUCGCAAAACACUUUAAAACGCUUCGGACCGUCUCCAAUAUACGGGGUUUCGGAAUAUUCCACGAGUACCACACUGGUCACGCUCUUCUGAGUCAACGUCACGAGUUGACCAACUUUCUGAACGCCUUACGCAGUCGUUUAAAGCGUAUUCGAGGCUCGACAGUGUUCUUGGGUGUCCGGCUACAGAGGCUUCAGAAACUUUCGGAAGCCUCCCAAUAUUUUCAAGCAUUAAAGACAGUUCUGACGAAACCAACCUUAUUUAUUUUGAUAACACACGUGAGCGCACACCAUGAACCCGUUCCAGAACCAACUUCAGCUUGGACAGCACAUUCCUUCAAUGAUCCCGACGUCACCU
Molecule: long non-coding RNA, 527 nt
Organism: Ornithodoros turicata
Lineage: Eukaryota; Metazoa; Arthropoda; Arachnida; Ixodida; Argasidae
Exons: 4
Source: RefSeq, a predicted model, not a curated record